RNAcentral lists this ribosomal RNA (251 nucleotides) under uncultured Pasteurellaceae bacterium. RNAcentral describes it as "partial 16S ribosomal RNA". It matches the Rfam family "Bacterial small subunit ribosomal RNA", at positions 524 to 774 of the family's 1533-position model. Lineage: Bacteria; Pseudomonadati; Pseudomonadota; Gammaproteobacteria; Pasteurellales; Pasteurellaceae. The record is from RNAcentral.
UACGGAGGGUGCAAGCGUUAAUCGGAAUAACUGGGCGUAAAGGGCACGCAGGCGGUUGUUUAAGUGAGGUGUGAAAGCCCCGGGCUUAACCUGGGAAUUGCAUUUCAGACUGGACAACUAGAGUACUUUAGGGAGGGGUAGAAUUCCACGUGUAGCGGUGAAAUGCGUAGAGAUGUGGAGGAAUACCGAAGGCGAAGGCAGCCCCUUGGGAAUGUACUGACGCUCAUGUGCGAAAGCGUGGGGAGCAAACA